GACGAACGCUGGCGGCGUGCUUAACACAUGCAAGUCGAACGGAAAGGCCCUGCCUUUGUGGGGUGCUCGAGUGGCGAACGGGUGAGUAACACGUGAGUUACCUGCCCUUGACUUUGGGAUAACUUCAGGAAACUGGGUCUAAUACCGGAUAGGAGCUACUGCUGCUUGGUGGGGGUUGGAAAGUUUCGGCGGUUGGGCAUGGACUCGCGGCCCAUCGGCUUGUUGGAGGGGUAGUGGGUUACCAAGGCCUUGACGGGUAGCCGGCCUGAGAGGGUAAGCUGACAAACCACGACUGAACUGAGACACGGACUAGUACGGGAGGCAAGGCAGCAGAGGGUAAUAUAGUGCGAGGAGGGCUAGUCCAGCACCGCCACGUGCGGGAUGUGAGCAAUCGGGUUGUGUUCCAAUUUCGCCUGUCACGAGACGAGAGUGACAGUAACGGGUGAAGAAGCUCCGGCUAACUCCGUG
RNAcentral lists this ribosomal RNA (468 nucleotides) under uncultured bacterium. RNAcentral describes it as "partial 16S ribosomal RNA". It matches the Rfam family "Bacterial small subunit ribosomal RNA", at positions 28 to 507 of the family's 1533-position model. The record is from RNAcentral.